AGAGUUUGAUCCUGGCUCAGGACGAACGCUGGCGGCGUGCUUAACACAUGCAAGUCGAACGGAGUCCAAGGUGCAACAAUGCACUGGAAGGUUCAGUGGCGAACGGGUGAGUAACACGUGAGGAACCUAUCCUGGUCACCGGGAUAACAGUUGGAAACAGCUGCUAAUACCGGAUGCCGUCGGAGCAUCGCAUGGUGCGCUGACGAAAGGGUUACUGGAUCAGGAGGGCCUCGCGGCCUAUCAGCUAGUUGGUGGGGUAACGGCCUACCAAGGCAUCGACGGGUAGCUGGUCUGAGAGGAUGAUCAGCCACACUGGGACUGAGACACGGCCCAGACUCCUACGGGAGGCAGCAGUGGGGAAUCUUGCGCAAUGGGCGAAAGCCUGACGCAGCAACGCCGCGUGCGGGAAGAAGGCCUUCGGGUUGUAAACCGCUUUCAGAAGGAACGAAACUGACGGUACUUUCAGAAGAAGGUGCGGCCAACUACGUGCCAGUAGCCGCGGUGACACGUAGGCACCAAGCGUUGUCCGGAUUUAUUGGGCGUAAAGAGCUCGUAGGCGGUUCAGUAAGUCGGGUGUGAAAACUUUGGGCUCAACCCAAAGCGUGCAUCCGAUACUGCUGUGACUGGAGUUCGGUAGGGGAGCGGGGAAUUCCUAGUGUAGCGGUGAAAUGCGCAGAUAUUAGGAGGAACACCGGUGGCGAAGGCGCCGCUCUGGGCCGAUACUGACGCUGAGGAGCGAAAGCGUGGGUAGCAAACAGGAUUAGAUACCCUAGUAGUCC
Molecule: ribosomal RNA, 779 nt
Filed under: uncultured bacterium
Lineage: Bacteria
Description: bacterial SSU rRNA
Rfam family: Bacterial small subunit ribosomal RNA
Source: RNAcentral